This 279-nucleotide ribosomal RNA is filed under the name uncultured bacterium. Its description in RNAcentral is "partial 16S ribosomal RNA". It matches the Rfam family "Bacterial small subunit ribosomal RNA", at positions 506 to 784 of the family's 1533-position model. The record is from RNAcentral.
UGCCAGCCGCCGCGGUAAUACGGAGGGGGCUAGCGUUGUUCGGAAUUACUGGGCGUAAAGCGCGCGUAGGCGGACUGGUCAGUUGGGGGUGAAAUCCCAAGGCUCAACCUUGGAACUGCCUUCAAAACUGCCAGUCUUGAGUCCGGGAGAGGUGAGUGGAAUUCCUAGUGUAGAGGUGAAAUUCGUAGAUAUUAGGAAGAACACCAGUGGCGAAGGCGGCUCACUGGCCCGGUACUGACGCUGAGGUGCGAAAGCGUGGGGAGCAAACAGGAUUAGAUA